RNAcentral lists this ribosomal RNA (253 nucleotides) under uncultured bacterium. RNAcentral describes it as "partial 16S ribosomal RNA". It matches the Rfam family "Bacterial small subunit ribosomal RNA", at positions 524 to 776 of the family's 1533-position model. The record is from RNAcentral.
UACGUAGGGACCGAGCGUUGUCCGGAUUCAUUGGGCGUAAAGAGCUCGUAGGCGGCUACUCAAGUCGAAUGUGAAACCUCGAGGCUUAACCUCGAGCCUGCAUUCGAUACUGGGCGGCUAGAGUCUGGUAGGGGGAUCUGGAAUUCCUGGUGUAGCGGUGAAAUGCGCAGAUAUCAGGAGGAACACCGGUGGCGAAGGCGGGACUCUGGGCCGAUACUGACGCUGAGGAGCGAAAGCGUGGGGAGCAAACAGG